GGAGGGUGCAAGCGUUAAUCGGAAUUACUGGGCGUAAAGCGCACGCAGGCGGUCUGUCAAGUCGGAUGUGAAAUCCCCGGGCUCAACCUGGGAACUGCAUCCGAAACUGGCAGGCUUGAGUCUUGUAGAGGGGGGUAGAAUUCCAGGUGUAGCGGUGAAAUGCGUAGAGAUCUGGAGGAAUACCGGUGGCGAAGGCGGCCCCCUGGACAAAGACUGACGCUCAGGUGCGAAAGCGUGGGGAGCAAACAGGAUUAGAUACCCUGGUAGUCCACGCCGUAAACGAUGUCGACUUGGAGGUUGUGCCCUUGAGGCGUGGCUUCCGGAGCUAACGCGUUAAGUCGACCGCCUGGGGAGUACGGCCGCAAGGUUAAA
Molecule: ribosomal RNA, 372 nt
Filed under: uncultured bacterium
Lineage: Bacteria
Description: bacterial SSU rRNA
Rfam family: Bacterial small subunit ribosomal RNA
Source: RNAcentral